GCAGUACUGCGCGAGCCUUAGCCGCGCAGGCUCAGCGAAGGGAGGCUGGCGGAUCUGCUACCUUUUGCGGUUCCCACCAAGAGUGACAAAACCUUGCUAGUGUGGGAGCUGAGCUCUGGACCCACGGCCGACGCUUUGCAUGCUGUUUCUCUUGGAGGUGGUGCAGGAGGUUGAGGAAAGCACCUCUGAUGAGCAGAUAGCUGGAGGCUGUUCCCACAGUCAUGUCUCAGCGAAGAAGUCGGAGUUCAGCAGCCAUCAGAACCAAGGGAUUCAACUUGGUGUCAUCUUCAAAGAGAGAAGACAGAAGGAGCAAGAUUAGUGGAAUCAUUACAGCCUUUGUCACUCUGAGUCCAGAUGGGAUGAAAGUUCAGCCCAAACUUUCAUUUUAGAGAGAGAGGGUCUUGCUCCGUCACACAGGCUGGAGUGCAGUGGUACAAUCACAGUUCACUACAGCCCCGACCUCCUGAACUCAAGUGAUCCUCCCACCUCAGCCUCCCGAGUAGCUGCGUCUGGCUAAUUAAAAAAGAUUUUUUUGAGAUGAGGUCUCACUGUGUUGCCCAGGCUGGUCUCCAACUCGUGGGCUCAAGCAAUCUUCUUACCUCAGCCUCUCAGAGCACUGGGAUUACAGGCGAGAGCCACCUCACCUGGCCUAACAAGGACCUCCAAGGAAGAGGAAGCAGGGGUAAAGAGAGGCAAGAAAUGCCACUGAAGACCGGGCAUGGUGGCUCAUGCCUGUAAUUCCAACACUGGACAUGGUGGCUCACGCCUGAAAUCCCAGCACCAGGCGUGGUGGCUCACACCUGUAAUCCCAGCACUUUGGGAGGCCGAGGUGGGUGGAUCACUUGAGGUCAGGAGUUCAAAACCAGCCUGGCCGACAGAGUGAAACCCUAUUUCUAUUAAAAAUACAAAAAUUAGCCGGGCAUGGUGGCGGGUGCCUGUAAUCCCAGCUACUUGGGAGGCUGAGGCAGGAGAAUCACGUGAACCUGGGAGAUAGAGAUUGCAGUGAGCCGAGAUCACACCACUGCACUCUAGCCUGGGCAACAGAGUGAGACUGUCUCAAAAAAAAAAAAAAAAAAAAAGAAGAAGAAAAAGAAGAAAUGCCACUGAGGCAGGGAGAAGGCCAUGGCUUCAGCAGGAAGCUGGGGGCACCACAAGAUGGGAGAGGAAAUGAAGACCUUCAUAAAACAACAAGAAGGAAGAUGCUGUACUCCUUCCCGCAGUCUCAGCUGUCCCAGCCCCAUCCCGAAGAGCAUCCACCGCGGAUCCUGUGGGCUCCACAACAGCAGGUGGCUGCCUUCAGCAUGGGACGGCAUAUUUCUUGUCAGCAAGUCUGAUGGGUCCCCCAGUUCCCCGCUGCUGUGGAGAGAGAGGAGGCCCACAGAGGCGGCCUGACCGCGGUACUGUGCUGGCACUCCAGACGCCCUGUUCCCACCCGUCAUCCUGCAGGCCUCUCCUCUCUUCUGCUGCCCCCACAGUCCAGGCUGCCUGCUUCUCCUGCUGUGGAUGCCACUGCCCCCACCCUAGCUUCCCCUUGUUUCUUCCUGAUUACUGUUUCUUGCUUUUGCCACCACUGGAGAAUGAGGUCAUGGGAGCAGUGGGGGACGGCAGUGCUCAGGUGGUGAAUGGACUGGGGACCCUGGAGACUGAGGUGAAUUUCCCACGCCCCCUCUGAGGGCUGCUCAGAGAGUACUUAUCUUGGAAUCCAUCUCCCCGCAACACACACCCACUGACUCCCAUGGGGAGAGGCAGUGGAGAGGACUUUAGCCUUGGUCUUCCUUUCCUACCAGGAGGAUGACAGCUCCAGCCCUGCAGCUCCUUCCUUCGCCCGACUCCUGCACUGGAGCCGGAUGGUUUAGAAUGAGAUCCAGGCCUCCUCCCACGUCUCCCUCCCUUCCUUCCAUCCCAGGCAGAUCAGGGAACUUGCUCCUCCUCAGGAAAGCAGCUGGACAGAGUGGGUGGGAUGAGGAGUCCAGGUGGUCCCCAAGGCGAGCACUGCGCAGGUGUGGGCUUUAUGAGAGAGGAGAUGAGCUACAGCUGCAGAGACUCAGACAUAUCAGGUUGAGAGAGCAAGGGAGUUAAGAAGUCAAGUUGGCUGUACACCUGUAAUCUCAGCAUUUUGGGAGGCCGAGGUAGGUGGAUCACUUGAGGUCAGGAGUUUGCAACCAGUCUGGCCAACAUGGUGAAACCCCGUCUCUACUAAAAAUUUAAAAAAUUAGCCAGGCGUGGUGGUGAGCACCUGUAAUCCCAGCUACUUGGGAGGCUAAGGCGGGAGAAUUGCUUGAACCCGGGAGGUGGAGGCUGCAGUGAGCUGAGACUGCACCACUGCACUCCAGCCUGGGCAACAGAGUGAGACUCUAUCUC
Molecule: RNA transcript, 2361 nt
Organism: Homo sapiens (human)
Lineage: Eukaryota; Metazoa; Chordata; Mammalia; Primates; Hominidae
Gene: RDM1P5
Gene name: RDM1 pseudogene 5
Exons: 6
Source: RefSeq, marked validated